This is a long non-coding RNA of Lineus longissimus, 456 nucleotides long. RefSeq lists it as uncharacterized. The transcript is spliced from 3 exons. NCBI's taxonomy places the organism in Eukaryota, Metazoa, Nemertea, Pilidiophora, Heteronemertea, Lineidae. The record is from RefSeq and is a predicted model, not a curated record.
AUAUUGAACGCCUGGACAGCUCCUGGAUUGCCACAUCAGAUAAAGGGACGGAUCUGUACGCCUGGUGCCAUAUCUUCUGUCGGCAUCUAAUAGGGGACGCCACAAGACUGGAGAUGAGCCAUCCCACAGAAGGGAGGAUGUUGCUGAGCCAGCGCAUCUCUACCAUGCUCCCGUCGCCGUCAAGGAGGUUUGAUUUUUGUCACCGUAGGCCUUAACCUUUUAUUGCAAUAUCUGAUUGAAAGGUGAUUUGAUAAAAAUCCUGAUAUUUUGUUUUCUGAUUGCGAGAAGGCAAUUAUCUUUAUAUCGUCACGCCUACUUCCUAGUAUCACGUUGUCUGGGACCGCCCAUCUUGAUACUUCGUUCUGAUCAGCUUAGAUCCUUCCCGCCAUCUCAUUAUUAUUCCCAGGUCCACGUGACCCAUGUAACUUCCUUGUUCAAUAAAGUAGUCAGAUAGCA